This 736-nucleotide ribosomal RNA is filed under the name Streptomyces sp. EAL5. RNAcentral describes it as "bacterial SSU rRNA". It matches the Rfam family "Bacterial small subunit ribosomal RNA", at positions 63 to 813 of the family's 1533-position model. The record is from RNAcentral. Lineage: Bacteria; Bacillati; Actinomycetota; Actinomycetes; Kitasatosporales; Streptomycetaceae.
CGAACGAUGAACCUCCUUCGGGAGGGGAUUAGUGGCGAACGGGUGAGUAACACGUGGGCAAUCUGCCCUGCACUCUGGGACAAGCCCUGGAAACGGGGUCUAAUACCGGAUACUGACCCGCUUGGGCAUCCAAGCGGUUCGAAAGCUCCGGCGGUGCAGGAUGAGCCCGCGGCCUAUCAGCUUGUUGGUGAGGUAAUGGCUCACCAAGGCGACGACGGGUAGCCGGCCUGAGAGGGCGACCGGCCACACUGGGACUGAGACACGGCCCAGACUCCUACGGGAGGCAGCAGUGGGGAAUAUUGCACAAUGGGCGAAAGCCUGAUGCAGCGACGCCGCGUGAGGGAUGACGGCCUUCGGGUUGUAAACCUCUUUCAGCAGGGAAGAAGCGAAAGUGACGGUACCUGCAGAAGAAGCGCCGGCUAACUACGUGCCAGCAGCCGCGGUAAUACGUAGGGCGCGAGCGUUGUCCGGAAUUAUUGGGCGUAAAGAGCUCGUAGGCGGCUUGUCACGUCGGUUGUGAAAGCCCGGGGCUUAACCCCGGGUCUGCAGUCGAUACGGGCAGGCUAGAGUUCGGUAGGGGAGAUCGGAAUUCCUGGUGUAGCGGUGAAAUGCGCAGAUAUCAGGAGGAACACCGGUGGCGAAGGCGGAUCUCUGGGCCGAUACUGACGCUGAGGAGCGAAAGCGUGGGGAGCGAACAGGAUUAGAUACCCUGGUAGUCCACGCCGUAAACGGUGGG